GACGUAGGGCGCGCGCGUUGUCCGGAUUUAUUGGGCGUAAAGAGCUCGUCGGCGGCUUGUCGCGUCGUCCGUGAAAACUUGGGGCUCAACCCCAAGCUUGCGGUCGAUACGGGCAGGCUCGAGUUCGGUAGGGGAGACUGGAAUUCCUGGUGUAGCGGUGAAAUGCGCAGAUAUCAGGAGGAACACCGGUGGCGAAGGCGGGUCUCUGGGCCGAUACUGACGCUGAGGAGCGAAAGCGUGGGGAGCGAACAGG
Molecule: ribosomal RNA, 253 nt
Filed under: uncultured bacterium
Lineage: Bacteria
Description: partial 16S ribosomal RNA
Rfam family: Bacterial small subunit ribosomal RNA
Source: RNAcentral